Molecule: ribosomal RNA, 437 nt
Filed under: uncultured bacterium
Lineage: Bacteria
Description: bacterial SSU rRNA
Rfam family: Bacterial small subunit ribosomal RNA
Source: RNAcentral
GUUUUCGGAUGGAAGUUUAGAAACUUAGUGGCGGACGGGUGAGUAACGGCGUGGGUAACCUGCCUCAUACAGGGGGAUAACAGUUAGGAAAUGACUGCUAACACCGCAUAAUAUAGCGAAACCGCAUGAUUUUUGCUAUCAAAUAUUUAUAGGUAUGAGAUGGGCCCGCGUCUGAUUAGCUAGUUGGUGGGGUAAAAGCCUACCAAGGCGACGAUCAGUAGCCGGCUUGAGAGAGUGACCGGCCACAUUGGGACUGAGACACGGCCCAAACUCCUACGGGAGGCAGCAGUGGGGAAUAUUGGACAAUGGGGGAAACCCUGAUCCAGCGACGCCCGCGUGAGUGAAGAAGUAUUUCGGUAUGUAAAGCUCUAUCAGCAGGGAAGAUAAUGACAGUACCUGACUAAGAAGCCCCGGCUAACUACCGUGCCAGCAGCUGC